Molecule: ribosomal RNA, 253 nt
Filed under: uncultured bacterium
Lineage: Bacteria
Description: partial 16S ribosomal RNA
Rfam family: Bacterial small subunit ribosomal RNA
Source: RNAcentral
UACGUAGGCAGCGAGCGUUGUUCGGAAUUACUGGGCGUAAAGAGUGCGUAGGCGGUGCUUUAAGUUUGGUGUGAAAUCUCCUGGCUUAACUGGGAGGGUGCGCCGAAGACUGGAGUGCUUGAGUGUGGGAGAGGAAAGCGGAAUUCCUGGUGUAGCGGUGAAAUGCGUAGAUAUCAGGAGGAACACCUGCGGUGUAGACGGCUUUCUGGACCACGACUGACGCUGAGGCACGAAAGCGUGGGUAGCAAACAGG